CUGGUGUGCUAGGUACAUUGUUCUGGGAUUUGACUAAUAAUUAAUAAGCAGGGCACAACUAGGCAAUUGUGAAGGAAUGAAGUUCCUCAGCUCGCAGCUUGUAAGGGCCUGGCUCCCAGGGAACUAAGGGAGUCCUGGGCUCUCGGGGAGAGCUCCUUUCCCUGAGCAAAGCUCCUUUGUUCCAGGUGGUUUGGUGUGCUGGGCACAACCACACCCUCCCUGCGCCUCUUAUGGCUUCCAGGACUCCCACCAUUCAGGACUCAUUUUUUGGCUCUAGCACAAUUGUUUUGAACUGAAGGAAUCAGAGACUUAGGGCAACUUCUUGAAGUUUCUACCCAGUUGGCAAAGAAAUCUUCUCAAUCCCCUACUUUCCCUAAACUAAGAGGACCAGAAAGUCUGCAGGCCCCAUGAUAUUCUACAUCUGCUGACACCAGGGAAACUCCACUACAAGGGAGUUGCAGUCUGUCACUCAACUUGCUGAGGACCAACUCUCGGGGGCACAGUCCCUACCUGCAAGCUGCUUGGAUCUCUUUGACAGAAUUGUCACAGCCAGACAACUGUUGGAGCAAAGAGGAUUCACAUCUCAUGAUAAUUUCCAUGGCUGCAGUGUUAUGCUGAGAAGGAUGUUGAGGGCCCAUCUUGUCUUGGCAGGAAGAGCGUUGUCUGGGGAGAAUGUGAUAAAGAGGUGUGUAGGUUUUGAGGUCUAUAGAAAGGGACUGUGAAGGUCUGCCUGGGGACAGCACACAUACCCAUAUUUACCACUGCUGACCUUGGUCACUCUCUUCAUUUUAUCAAGGAGUAACUGAAGAUAAUUGGAGACUAACGUGAUUUCCUCACUGCCAUAAUUAGUGGCAGAGGUGGGACUGGAACACAGGCAAGAAACGUCCCAAGUCACAGGUUCACCUUGUGUCAUCUUUGCUUUUCCUUCUCUAAAAUGAGGACCCCUCCCACCUCACCCAGGGUGGGAAAGGCCAGUUCAUCCCAGAGAGCUGCUAGGAGAGGGCAAGACAACUUGGAGUGGCUCCGAGGGGCAGCUUUCCUCCCGGACUCUCUGGACGGAGAGAAAACCCCAGUCUUUUGUGUGAUUCCUGGGGGGUGUGCCUGCAGCUUUCACCUUCAGAGGCAACAAUGAGAAAACCAGGGUAGCAGGGCUUGGCCCUAAACUCCACAGCGUAGUCUAAAGGCCAGAUGGAAGGUAAUGUACGAGUUAUAGGAUGUGGAAUCCGCUUAAGCUUGAGCCCUGUGAUCUAAGGGUAGUCCCCUCUGAGCUGGUUUCAGCAGACACCUUUCUCACAGGAUUACAUAUGAGUGCACAGUAGGCAGUCAACAAAUAUGGACUGAUCACACACACCAUGUUUUCUCUUCCCUCGGGGUCUUUGCACAUGCAGGUUCCUCUGCUUGGGACAUUUCUCCACUUUCUCUCCUCAUACACUGCUCACCGGAUCUCUGGAGCACUCAGUUUACACCGUGUCUUCAGAGAACACUCUGACUAACCCGAGGGGGUUAGGUACCCCCCUUCUGGGUGUCCACAGCACUCUGAACAUAUCCCAUCACAGCAUUUACCCCACUGGACUAUGGCGGCCUUUCUCCUGGAUUAGGCUGUGAGGCUCUGAGGGCAACGACCACAACAGAUUCAACUCUGUACCCUCAGUGCCUUGCACUCAGUAAACUCUCAAAGAAUACAUGCUGGCCAACUUACUAUAUCAAUGCCUUCUGUUCCCACUCCAUUCAUGACCACAAUAAAGAGCUCUAAACAGAGCACCAAACCC
Molecule: long non-coding RNA, 1769 nt
Filed under: Pan troglodytes (chimpanzee)
Lineage: Eukaryota; Metazoa; Chordata; Mammalia; Primates; Hominidae
Description: long non-coding RNA NONPTRT000161
Source: RNAcentral